UUUUAACGUAAGUAACUGGAUUCAUUAAUUAUAAAGGAAUUGAAGUUUAUAACCCUAGUUUGAAAAUAACUAAGCAACAGCAAGAUAACAAAAAAAUAGCAAAUAAACAAUAAAAUAAACGAAGUGGAAAUAAAGUGGUCCGUUGGCUUUGUUAGGACCUUCAUACUCCCCAGAUUGCAACCCAGUUGAUCAGAGGGGAGCCUCUUCUCACUCUUCCAAAAUUUCACCCUUCUGUUUCCUUUUUCCUCUCAAAAGAUCUAUUGCCAUUCCUCGGAGUGGACCCUUUUGGCCAUUUCUUGAGUCAGUUAGCCUCGUUGGCUGUCCGAUCUUCUCUCCUCCUCCAUUUUUCCCACGGCGAACUCCGGCACUUCCCCUACCAGGUAAGCUUGCUCCCUUAAUUUUAAUCCUCCCAUCGCUAAAACAUGCGCUUGGUCGUUCCUCUCCCUUGUGUGGGAGAACAAACGGGUUGGAAAUCAUCUUUUAACGAUUUUACAUUUUCAAUGAAAGCACUUAUAUAUAAUAGGCUAUAUUUUGUUUUCUUUAAUUUUUGCAGUUAUAUUUUGAAAUUGUAUAAUUUGCCAUUCAAUUAUUAGUGUGAUUGAAUUUUACCACUAAACUUUAAUUUUUUUUAAAAGAAUUUCCAUAAACUUUGAUUUUUAGUUAAAAAUUUAGCACUUAAUAUUAAUUUUGAUGAAAAAAAAUUGAACUUUAACUACUAAUCAAAAGUUACUUAAAGUUCAUACUUUUAUGUAUUAUAGAUAGAUAAGUCAUAAAUAUUUAAUUUAAUCAAGUUACAUAUUCAACUUUAACUACUAAUAAAUUAAGCCAUUUAUACUAACAUUGUAACACUCUCGACUCGAUUUGAUUGGUUGGAUCCAGAUCUUAGGUAUUAUCAAGUUAAUACAAAUAAAAACUCAAUCUACUUUUACAAAUUACGAUCACUUACGUCUUACUUAAUCACAAAAUUUCUAAUUUGAAUAGAUAAACAUGUACAAGUAAAUAUAAUUACAUCACGUGGUAAUUAAAAUACAACAAUAUUUAAUUUGAAACUCUAAUACAAUACAGAUGCCCCAAAUAGGGACUUCUAAGUAAUAAUUCAGUCUUGGAAUACAUCGCCAAUCUUGCUCUGUAUACACAAUAACCUGAUAUUUCACUUUUAGGGAUAGUCCUAACAUCGUCCCUCUUGACGUAGACUUACGUCAUCUCACUUAUAACAUAAUACAUACAGAUAAGUUUAUAAGAAUUUAGUAAGGAAAAUAUAAUUUACAUGAGUCAUAUUUGCACAUUGCAAUUGAUAGUUUAGAUAGAUGAUACCAUCGUCCUUAAACAUUCAACUUUGUCUCUGAUGAAUACUUCCUCAAGUUUUGUUUCCAUAUUCACAUCAGAUAUCAUACCUUACUUUGAAAUCACUUCUUCUUAUCGAAGUAUUCAAUACAUCAUUUACUUCUUUCAAUCAAAACAAUCAUAAAUCUUUAUCCAUUUUCUUUUCAGAGAUCAAUACAAUCAGUAACAACAUUACGCUUGCAAACUUACUUCUGAGCCAUCAAAUCAUCACAAUUCAAAAGAAUGUGUGCACAGACGAUAGAUACCUCCUUCAAACAUACAAAUUUUACAGUCUUAUUUUUAGACGAGUCAUAGCCUUAUAUAACUCGUUUUUACUGUACUAACCAUAUAGACAUAAAACCUUUCUAAUCUUACUGAUUUCACUUAAGAGUCAUGUUGAAUGCGCCUAAUCGAUUUAUUAUAGAACCUGCCACAAGAACAUUCUUUCCGAUAUGUCACCAAGGACUUUAUUUUGACGUAUCAUAUGGACAUUUCUUUCAGAGUUCGUCAUGAAUGAUACUUUUUCAUAUUGCGCUACGAAGGCGCUCCUUUAGGGUUUGCCAUAAGGGUAUUUUCUUCCUAAUGUGUUUGUGAUAUGAAUUUGCCUAGACUCACAUUUCGUGAGAUUUGCUUGUCAUUAUCCUAAGACAUGCAGAAAAAAUCCAUUAGGCUAUAGCCAUGACCAUGGACUUUCCAUUCAGGGUUCUUAUUUAAAGUCCCGGCGAACCCUUUUGAACAUCACCGCGAUGAACAGACAUAAACUCUUCAUGCCCUUAUACAAUUUAAACCUAACCUUUUAUUCCACCAACAUAUAACCACAUACAUUCCCGACUCAUAAUACAAAUUCUAGGCAUACAUAUAACCAUACCUCAGCAUUACAUUAUUUAAUCACCAUUCAUCAUAUGCUUGAACUUAUCAUAUUCCAUACCAAUUAUACAUGCCAUCCUCAAUGAACAAUCAUACAUUCAUAGAUCUCAUUUAGUAAUUACUCAUAUAGUUACAUACAUAUCAUAUCGUACCUUUCGUGAUCUCGGCUUCAUAUUUCAUUUAGUAUGCCACAGAUCUAUUUGCAUGAAUAGUACAUAUGCAAAAGUCAGCAAAGAGGCUCACCUGACAAUCUCACAUAGCAGCUUAAAUUCUAGAUCCAACAAGAGAUUACAAUAACCACUACUUAUAAAACAAAAGAACACCAUUAAAACUCGUUUUAACCUCUACCGUCAUCUUAAACCUAGAUAACCCACAUAUAAAGCCUUACUUCUUUAUUUAACUAUUCAUGCACUUAUUCAAACUUAAUCUUUCAUAACUUUAACAUGUAGAGUUACAAUAUUUACCUUGACAUGUAGUAGUCACUAACAAAAAUCUAGAUUUACAACUCCAAUUUAUAGGAGAAAAAAAUACUUUCUGGUUUCUCCAGUAUCAGAUAACAAUACUUUAGAAGAAAGAAGGAAAAUUUUUUCUUUCUCUACCCUUAAUAUCGACAUAUUUAACCUAAGUCCUUAUUGGAACUUGACAUGUGUCACAACUCGUAAGAUUGUUUUUAUAAAUGGCUUACAGUUGUAGAGAGAACCUAAAUAAAAAUCCAAUAAAUUAUAUAUUUGGUUCUUCGGUUCUAUCCAUUUCUAUCCAAAUGGUUUUUAACGUAACUGGCACAGUAACUCAAUGAACUUGGCAUAUAAUACCUUCGACAAUAACUCCAACUUACAAAAUUCUCAAUACUCUUACCAAACUCCCUUUCCUUACAGCACAACACAUUCUAAGUUCGAUCCGUAUAUAAUAUUCCAAUAUCUGCUAUGCACUCAAAUUGUACACCAAAACAAUAAUUGGGCAGAUAGGCUACGCCUCACAAAUUACUCUCAGUCUACUCGCCAGAACUUAAAACCCAUCAAAACUAGGUGUUACAAACGCCGUCGAGUUAUUUUAAUGGAAAAAUUGAGUUAUCACUUCUAUUUAGCAAUUUUUUUCAAAUAAGCAAAUAAUAUAUAUUGUUAUUUUAAAUAAAUUUGUCUAAGCUUUUUUCCAAACAUAAAUUACUAGAGAAAUAAAAUUUAGUUUUGCAAUUCUGUAAGAAUGAAACCUUAAUCAAUUGAAUCAAUUUUUUUGAAUUUUUUUCUCAUUCUUCAUCAUUCAUUUUCAACCAUUAAAGAUUUGCAAUUGUUCCUUUAAACUUUCAUAAUCGAUCAUGGAGGUUUUUAUUCCUUGAUAUAGAGGUAGGGAUCAACAUUGAAAAGUCCUCGAGUUGCAGAUUUGACGUAGGGCUUUAGACUAAAUUGAAGGGAAUUGGCAUGUAAGCAACCUAAAACACAUAAGAAAUGUAACAACUCGAUAGGCAGGGGUGUUGAAAAGUGUAUAUCCGGGACUCUGUUCAUGUAAACCAGACUCGAAGUUAAUUAUUUAGUUAAUUAAAUUUUGGAUAGAUAAUUUACAUGAAUUAGGAGCUAUUAUGGUUUAAGGACUAAAUUGCGUAAAAGUAAAAAAUUCAAUUAUAAAUUGAAAUAAACUAAAGGGGCUAAAGUAAUAAUUAUGUAAUUUAAUAAAUGGUUGUGUAUAGGUGCCCGGUCAAGGGUUAAGUGUAAUGUGCUUUUAUAUAUUAUAUAUAUGUUAUAUAUUAAGUUAGAAUAAUAAUAGUAAUAAAUAAAAUGAAAACAAAAUUAAAAGAAAAAAGUGAAGUAGAAUGAGAGAGCACAUGCAAAUUAAAAGAAAAGAAAAGAAAGAACCAAAAGAGGCCGACGAUACUAAGGGCUUCAAACUUUCAAAUUUUAAUUGGUUAGUCAAUUUAGCCCCAUUUUCUUAUAAUUUUCAUAUUUUUGGAAUCACAGUACCUAGGUUCUAAUUUUUAGUAUUGUUUAAGAUUUUAGAUGUUGCUAUUGUUGAAUAGUUUAAGUAUUAGGAAUUAAAUAGAUAGAUUUUUAAGCUAGAAGUGGAAAAUGACUAAAUUGUGAAAUUAAUAGUUGAUUUUGAGUAAUAGGGACUAAAUUGAGAAAAUUUUGAAAUUGAAGGGUUGAAUUAGAAAAUGAGCUAAAUUUAGUUUAAAGUGAAAUUAGUAUAAAAAUAUAAAGUUAAAUGUGAAGGUUAAAAAUUAGUCUCGAUUUAGGGACUAAAUUGAAGUUUAAGCAAAUAAAGUGUAAAAUUUUAAUUUUAAUGUAAAAUUAAAUUAUGUAAUAUUAAUAUAUUUUAAUUGUUUUAUUCCGUAGCUAACGUCGUACCGGAAUCCUUGAGUAAAAAGGAGAAGGAUAAAAUUGACGUCGAAUAGCUCAGAAUUUACGGUUUGUGUGUUCUAUAAUCCUAAUUAAAUAACAGAUUGUUGUAUAAUUAAUUGUUUGCAUAUGGUAAGCAUUUGUGGUGGGUACUUUGGUACUUUUGGAUUAAAUUGAAUUCAUAGUAAAUUUGAAAGGGAUUCAUUUUGUGUAUUAUGAAAUAUGUUGAUUAUAUGAAUAUUGAAUUGACUAUAUGUGAUAGUGUAUAUAUGUGAAACUGAGACAUUAGUUGUAUUGAAAAGUGAAAUAAAACUCUAUUAACUGUAUCGGGCUGAGUUGGAUAUAGAUGGCAUGCCAUAGGAUAGGAAGAGUUCAAGGAUUUCUCUUAAGUCGAUGAGGCACUGGGUGCCAAUUUACUUUGGUUUAACUGAUGAGACAUUGGAUGUCAAUUUAUAUAGCACUGGGUACAGUUAUUAUUUUGGAAUUAACUAGACACUAGGUGCCAAAUUGGUGUGUUGGUUGGAUCUGUGUAUCUAUCCGAGUCUGAGUCAUGUUAAUAGGGAAAAUUAAAUAAUAAAUUUAUAUGUUUGAUAUUGAGAUGACCAUGUUGAGAAAUGAAUAUGAGAUGAGAAAAAGAAAUAUGAAAUAAUGAAAUGUGAUGUGAAUCUUGAAAUGAAUUCAAGUAUCAAAAUGAUUAAUCAUGCCAUUGAAUGAGUUGGACUACUAAAUGCUAUAUAUAUGAAAUAUCACUGAUAUGUGCUUGAACAUAUGAAAUAUUAUUACCAUGUGCUAAAUUUUGUGAACUCUAUUGAAUGUGAAUAAAGAAUGAGUAAGUUGGCAUUAUUGAUUUGAUACAUAUGUUUUAUAACAUUACUUAUUGCAUUUUUAUAUCUUAUCUAUCCAUAUCAAGUUUAAAUUAUUCGGAUUAUAGAAAUACCACUAAGUUAUACUCAGUGUGCGGUUUUGUUUUCUGUACGCAAGCUAGGUACUUUUCAACAUAUCGCAGACUCAGCAUCAAACAAUAAAUCCCGAGCUCAAGUGUGGUUAUAUCUUAUUUUGAAAUGGCAUGUACCGAGGAAGUCUUUGGUUGAUAGUUGGUUUGUCAAUGUCAUGUUAUUUUGUUUUAAGGUGAAUUGAUGGUUACUUAUAUAAUUGUGGUUUAAGCUAUGUUUUUGUAUGUAGUCUAAUUAAUGUGUUGGUAUGUGUUGUAGUUUAAAACUUGGUAGCCUAAGUAGUUAAAGGUUAGUUCAAUAUUAGUUAAUUUGAUAUGAAUGAAAGUCUUUGAAUGGUUGAUGUGUUUGAUGAUAUAAAAUGUAGCACCAAUGAGGGUACAUUGGCUAGACACUUAAGGUGGUUUAUUUGGUUUGUUUUAAGCAUGCUUAAUCGUGUUUUGAACAAGUUAAAUGACUGUUAAUUAAGUUUCUUAGUGUCUAAGUAAGUAGGAAAUGGUAAACUUGAGUUUUAAGGUACUUAUAGGUGCAUAUGGCCUAAACACGGUCUGUCACACGAUCGUGUUGAAAAAUAGUAUAGGUGUAGUUUCCACACGGGCUGACAC
RNAcentral lists this long non-coding RNA (6072 nucleotides) under Gossypium barbadense (sea-island cotton). RNAcentral describes it as "long non-coding RNA (GBAR_LNC000695)". The record is from RNAcentral. Lineage: Eukaryota; Viridiplantae; Streptophyta; Magnoliopsida; Malvales; Malvaceae.